Molecule: ribosomal RNA, 591 nt
Filed under: Penicillium chrysogenum
Lineage: Eukaryota; Fungi; Ascomycota; Eurotiomycetes; Eurotiales; Aspergillaceae
Description: eukaryotic LSU rRNA
Rfam family: 5.8S ribosomal RNA (bases 209-361)
Source: RNAcentral
UUCCGUAAGGGGGACCUGCGGAAGGAUCAUUACCGAGUGAGGGCCCUCUGGGUCCAACCUCCCACCCGUGUUUAUUUUACCUUGUUGCUUCGGCGGGCCCGCCUUAACUGGCCGCCGGGGGGCUUACGCCCCCGGGCCCGCGCCCGCCGAAGACACCCUCGAACUCUGUCUGAAGAUUGUAGUCUGAGUGAAAAUAUAAAUUAUUUAAAACUUUCAACAACGGAUCUCUUGGUUCCGGCAUCGAUGAAGAACGCAGCGAAAUGCGAUACGUAAUGUGAAUUGCAAAUUCAGUGAAUCAUCGAGUCUUUGAACGCACAUUGCGCCCCCUGGUAUUCCGGGGGGCAUGCCUGUCCGAGCGUCAUUGCUGCCCUCAAGCACGGCUUGUGUGUUGGGCCCCGUCCUCCGAUCCCGGGGGACGGGCCCGAAAGGCAGCGGCGGCACCGCGUCCGGUCCUCGAGCGUAUGGGGCUUUGUCACCCGCUCUGUAGGCCCGGCCGGCGCUUGCCGAUCAACCCAAAUUUUUAUCCAGGUUGACCUCGGAUCAGGUAGGGAUACCCGCUGAACUUAAGCAUAUCAAUAAGCGGACGAACCG